This 454-nucleotide ribosomal RNA is filed under the name uncultured fungus. Its description in RNAcentral is "eukaryotic LSU rRNA". The stretch from base 98 to 251 matches the Rfam family "5.8S ribosomal RNA". The record is from RNAcentral. Lineage: Eukaryota; Fungi.
CCCCUUCCUCGGAGGGGGUUGCUCACGUUUUUAAACAUUAAACACCCAUUCGAACGUAAUGUAGAAUGUUCUUUGCGCGAUGACGCGCGAUCAAUACAACUUUCAACAACGGAUCUCUUGGCUCUCGCAUCGAUGAAGAACGCAGCGAAAUGCGAUACGUAAUGUGAAUUGCAGAAUUCAGUGAAUCAUCGAAUCUUUGAACGCACCUUGCGCCCCUUGGCAUUCCGAGGGGCACACCCGUUUGAGUGUCGUGAACAUCCUCAACCCGCUUGGUUUUUAUCAAACCAAGUAGGCUUGGAAUUUGGAGGUUUUCUGCUGGCCUCCUCCGAAGCCAGCUCCUCUUAAAUGUAUCAGUGGGAUCCGCUUUGCUUAGAUCCUUGACGUUGAUAAGAUGUUUCUACGUCUUGGGUUUUGCUCGGGAAAGGACCUGCUUCUAACCGUCCCAUCCGGGGAC